Molecule: non-coding RNA, 92 nt
Organism: Caerostris darwini
Lineage: Eukaryota; Metazoa; Arthropoda; Arachnida; Araneae; Araneidae
Source: the annotation of a GenBank genome assembly
ACGGCCAUACCAUGCUGAAUAUACCGGUUCUCGUUAGAUCACCGAAGUCAAUACUUGGGUGGGUGACCACCUGAGAACACCGCGUGCCGUUG